Molecule: ribosomal RNA, 1527 nt
Filed under: Companilactobacillus crustorum
Lineage: Bacteria; Bacillati; Bacillota; Bacilli; Lactobacillales; Lactobacillaceae
Description: bacterial SSU rRNA
Rfam family: Bacterial small subunit ribosomal RNA
Source: RNAcentral
ACGACGACGCUGGCGGCAUGCCUAAUACAUGCAAGUCGAACGAACCAUCCUGAAGAUUGAAGCUUGCUUCAUGAUUCAGACCUUGGUGAGUGGCGGACGGGUGAGUAACACGUGGGUAACCUGCCCAAAAGUGGGGGAUAACAUCUGGAAACAGGUGCUAAUACCGCAUAACAACUACUUUCUCAUGAUCGUAGCUUGAAAGAUGGCUCUGCUAUCGCUUUUGGAUGGACCCGCGGCGUAUUAGCUAGUUGGUGAGGUAAUAGCUCACCAAGGCAAUGAUACGUAGCCGACCUGAGAGGGUAAUCGGCCACAUUGGGACUGAGACACGGCCCAAACUCCUACGGGAGGCAGCAGUAGGGAAUCUUCCACAAUGGGCGAAAGCCUGAUGGAGCAAUGCCGCGUGAGUGAAGAAGGUUUUCGGAUCGUAAAACUCUGUUGUUGAAGAAGAACAUGCGUGAGAGUAACUGUUCACGUACUGACGGUAUUCAACCAGAAAGCCACGGCUAACUACGUGCCAGCAGCCGCGGUAAUACGUAGGUGGCAAGCGUUGUCCGGAUUUAUUGGGCGUAAAGAGAAUGUAGGCGGUUUAUUAAGUUUGAAGUGAAAGCCCUCGGCUCAACCGAGGAAGUGCUUCGAAAACUGGUAAACUUGAGUGCAGAAGAGGAAAGUGGAACUCCAUGUGUAGCGGUGGAAUGCGUAGAUAUAUGGAAGAACACCAGUGGCGAAGGCGGCUUUCUGGUCUGUAACUGACGCUGAGAUUCGAAAGCAUGGGUAGCAAACAGGAUUAGAUACCCUGGUAGUCCAUGCCGUAAACGAUGAGUGCUAAGUGUUGGAGGGUUUCCGCCCUUCAGUGCUGCAGCUAACGCAUUAAGCACUCCGCCUGGGGAGUACGAUCGCAAGAUUGAAACUCAAAGGAAUUGACGGGGGCCCGCACAAGCGGUGGAGCAUGUGGUUUAAUUCGAAGCAACGCGAAGAACCUUACCAGGUCUUGACAUACCAUGAAAAGCUAAGAGAUUAGUCUUUCCCUUCGGGGACAUGGAUACAGGUGGUGCAUGGUUGUCGUCAGCUCGUGUCGUGAGAUGUUGGGUUAAGUCCCGCAACGAGCGCAACCCUUAUUAUCAGUUGCCAGCAUUCAGUUGGGCACUCUGGUGAGACUGCCGGUGACAAACCGGAGGAAGGUGGGGACGACGUCAAAUCAUCAUGCCCCUUAUGACCUGGGCUACACACGUGCUACAAUGGUCGGUACAACGUGCUGCGAACUCGCGAGGGUAAGCAAAUCACUUAAAACCGAUCUCAGUUCGGAUUGUAGGCUGCAACUCGCCUACAUGAAGCUGGAAUCGCUAGUAAUCGCGGAUCAGCAUGCCGCGGUGAAUACGUUCCCGGGCCUUGUACACACCGCCCGUCACACCAUGAGAGUUUGUAACACCCAAAGUCGGUGGGGUAACCCUUCGGGGAACUAGCCGCCUAAGGUGGGACAAAUGAUUAGGGUGAAGUCGUAACAAGGUAGCCGUAGAGAUGCUUGCUUAA